AGAGACAGCAGCCGCCGCGGUAAUACAGAGGGUGCGAGCGUUAAUCGGAUUUACUGGGCGUAAAGCGUGCGUAGGCGGCUUUUUAAGUCGGAUGUGAAAUCCCUGAGCUUAACUUAGGAAUUGCAUUCGAUACUGGGAAGCUAGAGUAUGGGAGAGGAUGGUAGAAUUCCAGGUGUAGCGGUGAAAUGCGUAGAGAUCUGGAGGAAUACCGAUGGCGAAGGCAGCCAUCUGGCCUAAUACUGACGCUGAGGUACGAAAGCAUGGGGAGCAAACAGGAUUAGAUACCCCAGUAGUCCCUGUCUCUUAUAC
RNAcentral lists this ribosomal RNA (309 nucleotides) under uncultured bacterium. Its description in RNAcentral is "partial 16S ribosomal RNA". It matches the Rfam family "Bacterial small subunit ribosomal RNA", at positions 504 to 807 of the family's 1533-position model. The record is from RNAcentral.